This is a non-coding RNA of Mycena olivaceomarginata, 95 nucleotides long. NCBI's taxonomy places the organism in Eukaryota, Fungi, Basidiomycota, Agaricomycetes, Agaricales, Mycenaceae. The record is from the annotation of a GenBank genome assembly.
GACCUGGUGGUGUAUAGCAACACACCUGCUACGCAUAGUAGAUCGAAAAUAUGCAUAAUAUGCAGAAGAUCCUCGUUCGAAUCGGGGUCAGGUCA